GACGAACGCUGGCGGCGUGCUUAACACAUGCAAGUCGAACGGAAACGCCCUGCUUUUGUGGUGUGCUCGAUUGGCGAACGGGGGAGUAACACGUGAGUAACCUGCCCUUGACUUUGGGAUAACUUCACGAAACUGGGGCUAAUACCGUAUAGGAUCUCCUGCUGCAUGGUGGGGGGUGGAAAUUUUCGGCGGUUGGGGAUGGACGCGCGGGUGAUCAGCUAGUUGGUGGGGUAGUUGCUUACCAAGGGUUUGACGGGUAGCCGGCCGGAGAGGGUGACCGGCGACAUUGGGACUACGAUACGGACCAGACUGCUACGGGAGGCAGCAGUGGGGAAUAUUGCACAAUGGGAGGAAGCCUGAUGCAGAAACGCCGCGUGCGGGAUGACGGCCUGCGGGUUGUAAACAGCUUUAGCCUGAGACGAAGCGUGAGUGACGGUAAUGGGUAAAGAAGCACCGGCUAACUACGUG
This 468-nucleotide ribosomal RNA is filed under the name uncultured bacterium. RNAcentral's name for it is "partial 16S ribosomal RNA". It matches the Rfam family "Bacterial small subunit ribosomal RNA", at positions 28 to 507 of the family's 1533-position model. The record is from RNAcentral.